This 459-nucleotide ribosomal RNA is filed under the name uncultured bacterium. RNAcentral describes it as "partial 16S ribosomal RNA". It matches the Rfam family "Bacterial small subunit ribosomal RNA", at positions 338 to 795 of the family's 1533-position model. The record is from RNAcentral.
CCUACGGGAGGCAGCAGUGAGGAAUAUUGGUCAAUGGCCGCAAGGCUGAACCAGCCAAGUCGCGUGAGGGAUGACGGUCCUAUGGAUUGUAAACCUCUUUUGUCAGGGAGCAAAGGGCGCCACGUGUGGCGCUUUGCGUGUACCUGAAGAAAAAGCAUCGGCUAACUCCGUGCCAGCAGCCGCGGUAAUACGGAGGAUGCGAGCGUUAUCCGGAUUUAUUGGGUUUAAAGGGUGCGCAGGCGGAAUGUCAAGUCAGCGGUAAAAUUUCGGGGCUCAACCCCGUCGUGCCGUUGAAACUGGCGUUCUUGAGUGAGCGAGAAGUAGGCGGAAUGCGUGGUGUAGCGGUGAAAUGCAUAGAUAUCACGCAGAACCCCGAUUGCGAAGGCAGCAUACCGGCGCUCAACUGACGCUCAUGCACGAAAGCGUGGGUAUCGAACAGGAUUAGAUACCCGAGUAGUC